CGUUACCAUUACGGCCUAUGGAAAAACUAAUGCGCAUCUGUACCCAAUUUAGAAGCUCAAUUCCAGAAGUUGUCGGACUGAUUUAUGGAUGAUUUCACCUGUACACCACCGAAAAUGAUGGUUAGUAUUUUUUUAUUUAUACCUAGUUAUCAUAAAUGGUUUAAGAUAAAUAUUAUUGAUAAAGAUCAGCAAAAACUCAAGGAAAUUUUCGCUUUUAAAAUGCAUUACUGGCACGGGGCUGAACACUUUUUUUAGGCACAAUCAUAACUUUGUUUACUUCCGAGAGAUCCGAAAGGAAUUUGUUUGCUACAUUGAAAAGGCAAGAAAUAACUUUUAAAUAUUAUUAAAUUGUAAGUAAACAUGACACAAUAUAGUCUUUGUUAUGUAAUUAUCACUCUGGUCUACAGGAAUACCUGAUAAUCAAGGGAGAUAACACACUUCAUACGAGUAAAGUGAGAUACAUCAUCGCAUGUGCUUUUAACCAAUGAUUUGACCCCUGGUCAGUAGAUAUCAUAUGCAUAAAAAACAGAAAAAACAUUUACAUGCUUUAAGAAAAUCAUGAAUUAUUAUUUUUAAUGCACAUGAGCAAAACAAAAGAUAUUGUCAUUUCUCAGCACUGAAAAAGGGGGAGGGUCAAACUUUUUUGAAAACAAUAUUUCUGCACCUAUUCAAUUAUUAAGCUAGUUAGCUACUACCCAUUGCUUCUAAUAUAAAAGGUUUAAAUGAAGGUGGCUAAGCCACAAGGGAGAAGCAUUUGUCUUUCUUUGUGAUUAAACUUUCAAGAAUAAGAUUUUUCUCUCUCAAUAAUACUUAUGUAUUUAAAUCAAAU
This 829-nucleotide long non-coding RNA is filed under the name Mytilus galloprovincialis (Mediterranean mussel). The record is from RNAcentral. Lineage: Eukaryota; Metazoa; Mollusca; Bivalvia; Mytilida; Mytilidae.